UACGUAGGGGGCAAGCGUUGUCCGGAUUUAUUGGGCGUAAAGAGCGUGUAGGCGGCCAUACAGGUCCGUUGUGAAAACUGGAGGCUUAACCUCCAGACGUCGAUGGAAACCGUAUGGCUAGAGUCCGGAAGAGGAGAGUGGAAUUCCUGGUGUAGCGGUGAAAUGCGCAGAUAUCAGGAGGAACACCGGUGGCGAAGGCGGGUCUCUGGGCCGUAACUGACGCUGAGGAGCGAAAGCGUGGGGAGCGAACAGG
RNAcentral lists this ribosomal RNA (253 nucleotides) under uncultured bacterium. RNAcentral's name for it is "partial 16S ribosomal RNA". It matches the Rfam family "Bacterial small subunit ribosomal RNA", at positions 524 to 776 of the family's 1533-position model. The record is from RNAcentral.